GAGCACUUACUAGGCACUGCUCCAGAAACUCCAAGCAUGUUAAUUCACUUCAUCCUUAUAUCAUCUCCUGCAUCACCCCCAGCACCAACAGAGAGAAAUGAGGCAAAGAGAAGUGCUACCACUUGAUUUAAAAAGCAGCUGAAUGUUCUCACAAUGGCUGUGUGUGGAUAGGAAAAAUACCUGUUUUCUUAUCAGAUCUCAAUUUGGGGAGAAUACCGUGACUUAAACUGGAUGCUCAAGCUCUUGUGAAAACAGGGUUCUGAUAGGACUGCCACCAUUGAUGAUCUCUGUCCUCGAGAGACUCCGGAACCACCACCUCCGUCUUCAAACCUUGGGACACCAGAGAGGCUUCCCUGUCAUCUUGUUAUCAUACUGUUCAAAAUUGCCCAAGUGUCAUCCUGGGGAGAACCACACAUCCAGACAGAAAGAAGCAGCACACACCUGAACAUGGUCUCUGUGGAGGGCCCAGCUAUGGGACAGAGGACAACCCAGAGACUGUGUUCUGAGUUCUUAUCUUGGUGUCCACACCCUCCAGAUGGUGGUAUGUGCUUUAGGGUAGGCCGAUGACAGCUGAAGAAGACUGUAUUUGCGGAGGAGCAGCAUGAGGGUAGAGAGGAGCAGAGCUCCUGAGGGAAACCUAAUAGUUCCUCUCCUUCCUGCACGGAGAUAAAGACUUAUAAUCAGCGUCUAUGUUCACCAUCUGGCUCUGCGCAUGUGGUCCGUAUGGAGGAGAAAGCCGCACAAUCUGUAAGUGAUCAGGAGCCAUGGCGCUCUCUCCAGAGAAUCCACGAUGCAAUCAAGGUGACAGAUGGCACGGCCACUGCUGUGGCCUCAUGGAGAAGAUCAAAAUCACCUUCAAUAAACUCUGACUGAAAUGGGCAUGAGCACCUCGAAAAAGUCAGUUUGUCAGUCAAACUGCGACAGCGCGCUGCACUGGGGAACCACAGCGGCCAGCUCUCUGUUUUCAAUCGUUUCCGUCUGACUGGGCCUGAACUAUGAUCCUUCUCAAAUUGUCCUUUCUGUUUAGCUGAAGCAGGCCAGCAAAUUGCCAGAUUCAUUGCUUUAUUGAAGAAAAUUGAAAACACGAUGUCCUCAAUUCCGAGGACGCACAGCUGGCAGGUACCCGGGACACCCAAACGCAGGGAGAGUGGACCUGGUUUCUGCAGCCGGAGUUUGCCCAACUUUAGGCGGAUAUUUUUGAACGCAAAUAUAAAAUGCAAAUGUGUACGGGGCAGUGGUUAUGUAAACGGUAUUAAGUAACCAGUAAGUGUUGUAGAAUGGAGACGUGGCUACAAAGAAAGGAAGAAAGGAAGAAAGGAAAGGGGGAAACUCCAGCAGGGAGUUGUCUCUGCGAGUUCAGAGCAGGUUUCUUUCUUGAUAGAGCUAGUGUGUUUUCUUUCUGUAUCUGUUUACUAUGUGGAGGUUCCUUUGGGUUUGAGCACAAGGUUGAAGAAAUGCAGAGAUACUGUUUUGUUUUGAGCAAAUCACAGGGAAUCUGCAGGGGUCAGGAAGUUUAAACAAAUUUCCGUUUCUCCUAACCCCAGAGGAAAAAAAAUUAGAAGCCCCAACCGCUUAUAAAUGGAGGGAAAUGAGGAACAGCUAACCUGCAGUGGGACUCAAAUCCACUACCAUCUUUUGAGAAGUAAGGACACUGAUUUCAGGUCAGGGAGGGCGGGUCCUGAUGAGAGCAGGCGCCCCUCUUCCUCCCUCCUGAUCCCUUGGCACAGUUCCACUGUUGUUCUUCCUCCCAAUCGCCAGGACCGGAGAUUGAAAGCAAAACUAGACUUUUCCAAUCUUCUUUCUCUAAAGUUUCCAGGAUCUGUGUCUGGUCCUGGAGUUUUCUAUUACAAGCUGGCUGAGGGAACUUACCCCUUCUAACUUUUCGUCCAUUCUCUUUUUAAAAAGUUGUAACCUUCUAGUUAAUGUUGCGGGCUUGCUUCAUUUAAGAUCCAAACCCUGCUCCUGCUUCAUCCCCCACAAUGUAAACUGUUUGACAGCUGAGAAAUACUGAGUCACCCGGCCCUGGAUUUCCAUGGGAAUUCUCUACUCUUAUUAUAGGUACAAUUUGAAUGCCAGGAUUCUGGUGCAGUGAUAUAGAAAUGCAUCUAAAGGGGACUCAUCCUUGAUUUGUGUAUGUGAAAUUCAAGAAAACACGGGGAAAAGCUCCUAUUUUGAGUGACAGGAAAGUCUUGCUCUUUGGGGGGAAGGACUGUGUUUUCACAGAGUAUAAGAGUGGAGCUAACUUACUGCAUAUCAAAGGGAAGUGUGGUUUGUUAAGAACAAAAGACCCUUUGUGUUUUCUUGUUCUUUAGUAGGUAAUACCUACUGAGUGCUGAGUACCCACUAUGUGCAGGCUUUGCAGAAUUGAGAAGAUUCCCAGGGAGAAAAUGUAGGUUUUAAAGCCCUCUUCGGGGCACAGAGCUCUCUGCCUGACCUUUCUCCCUUGACCUACCUCCUUGGGCAGUGGGGGGUGUUCUUGCAUGACAACAGGGCUGGUGUUAGGCUGGUGGCUGCCUGCUGUUUUUACACAGGAAAUGCUGUGUAUUUUUUCUGUGGUCUUUGGCUUCCUGGAAUAGCGACUGUUUAAAGACACAUUCAUCAGUGCUGCCACCAGGAGGGGUGGUAGGAUGAGUCAUCGCUCAGCAGCAGCUCCAGUUACUCAGGGAGAAAGAAAUCUUUUGCUUCCUAACGGUGGCAGUUCUGAGUCUUUCUUUAAGAGAUGGCCUACUGGACCAUGACAGUAUGGAAACAUACUUCUAAAAUGAGGUUUAGUAAUUAGAGCUUGGCCCAAACUCAGAUAUUUAUGCUCCAGUCAUCUCUAGCAUGGAAUUUCUCUUGAUCUGUGCCAGAUACACAGCCAUACACCAUUAGUGUCCUUUAACUCUAAGUCCCAAACUAAAAUCUUGCUUAGAGAAAUUUCCUUGAGACAGUUUAAAACUCAUGUUCAUGAGCAGAGAUGUCCUUAAAGUGCUGUAUGUACUUGCUAUAUCCAUCCAUCCAUCUCUGUAUCUUCUGUAGGUGAGAUUGGCAGGGAUGGGAUGUGAGGAUGUAGAGAUUGUCCUGGGAUUCACAAGGCAGCACCCAUGGAGGGCAACUCUCCAUCACAGGGCACUGGCUUUUUGAGUAGAUGCAUUAAUGACAUUUUUUAUUCAUUAAUAUUUUGUUCUCUGUGUGUGUCUGUGUGUCUCUCUCUCUCUCUCUCUCUCUCUCUCUCUCUGUGUGUGUGUGUGUGUGUGUGUGUGUGUGCAUGUGUGUACAUUGUCACAUAUGUGUUCAUGGAUACAGGCACAUACAUAUCACAAUUCAGAGAUCAACACUAAAUGUUUUCCUCAGUACCCUUUACCUUGUUUGUUUGUUUUCUUUUUUGAGACCCAACAUCUUAGUGAACCUGGAGCUUGCUACUUUAACGAGACAGGGUGAUAAGCAAGCCCCACAGGAUAUGCCCCUGUCUCUGCUUCCACAUCAUUGAGAUUAGAGCCAUGUACACUUUCACCCUGUUUUAUAAUGUGCUGAAGAACUAAAGCCAAGUUCUCAUGCUUGUCAGUCAUGCGCUUUACUUAUGAUUAUUUUGCCAGGUCCAAGAGUUUAAGAGCAGAUUCAUUGUGAAUGAAGAGAUUGCAUAGAAAUUUAAAUACAGAUAGAAAAGAAUAAGUAUGUGGUGAGAUGUUUCUUAUGAAUUGAGAGUAGUUUGGUCAUUUGUAGGUCACAGAUUUCAUUAGUUCCUAUUACUAUUUUUCUUACCACUUUAUUGCUUAAAGUUACUGCACUAAUUUUAAGAAUAUUUUCUGCUAACUUUAAUAGGUUGGGGGAUAUGUGUAUAUGUGCCACAUUUCUGUUGCUCUAACUACAUACCUUUCAAUCAAUAACAUUUGACUUCUUGGAUUCUCUGCUGGUUGUGAGGCUCCUACUUUCCACAUGGCAGACAGAAGACCAAGAGAGAUGGAGAGUUCAGUGCCACAGGCCUGUUCCCAGUAACGUAUUUCCUCUAAUAAAGUCUUAUUCCUAGGUCUUCCCAAAAUAGUACCAUCUGCUUAUGACCACGCCCCAAAUGUGAGUCUUUUUCAGGAAGACAGAUCUAAACUGUGACAAACCAAGUCCAAAAGAAUACCCAUUAAAAUAAAAUUAAAAUGUAAGCAGAUAAUGGCAUUUAUAAAUUGAUAAGCUUAUAUGCCACAAGUGUUAUGUUCUUAAAAGAUUCUCUUUUUCUUGUAUAUAAUAAUGGAGACAUAAAUACAAAUGGACAAGAGGGAGGUAUCUUGCAAAUAUAGUGUUAUUUCUACUUGUUUAACUUAUUUCAGAAUAUUAGACUGAAAAAUACCUGUGCAAAUGCCAUGUACACAAGUCUCGCUGUAUCCUCAAAACAUUAUGCAAUCAGAAAAAUUUUGAAAGGUAGACUAUUGAAGAAAAAUAAUACAGUCUAUCGUUGAAUAAAAUGAAGGCUCCAACGGAUAAGUUUGUAUCUGUACAUGCUUUUAUUCUGUUUAUAAACAUCAAAAAGAGCCCCCUUUUCUGGUAUUCUUCAUUUAAAAGGAAAGAAAAUAGAACAGAAAACUAAUUUUAGCUAAUGCCAGAGAUCCAAGUUGUAGGCUGGGCUCUAGAAGGACUGGGUGUUUACGAGUCACCUUCCCUUUUGUCAGUUGAGAUGAUGACAUGGUGGUAGAGAGAGCAUGGCCAUGAUAAAUAUACACCCCUGGACUGGAAUCCUCAUUUCUGCUCUUACUGCUAAGGAGCAGGACUUAAUCAGGCUGAAGAAUUCCUUCACAGAAUAUAGAACAUUAAUUGUUUUUCUUUUAACUGUUCUCUUUGGAAGGAGACAAGAGGUGCAUGAGACCCAGGAAGCAUGGGAAAUUACAAGGAAUUUUGUGAGAAGUGAAUAAUUACUGGGGGAGGAGAGACCCUCUGGAAGAGUUGCCUUCUUGUUGUGCAGGGAGCUCAGGAGGUGGAUGCAGCUGUCAUGAGUCCUCACUAGGAAUACAGUGAGAUUUCUGGUCCUGCAUUUACCCAUGCUUCUACAAAUAAUCCCUCAUAACUGCUUCUAUAAGUUACCCCAAUAAACUGAUUGGCUCACUAA
This 5071-nucleotide long non-coding RNA is filed under the name Mus musculus (house mouse). RNAcentral's name for it is "predicted gene, 30789 (Gm30789)". The record is from RNAcentral. Lineage: Eukaryota; Metazoa; Chordata; Mammalia; Rodentia; Muridae.